Agrilus planipennis (emerald ash borer) is the source of this 1321-nucleotide RNA transcript. RefSeq lists it as uncharacterized. The record is from RefSeq and is a predicted model, not a curated record. The transcript is spliced from 2 exons. NCBI's taxonomy places the organism in Eukaryota, Metazoa, Arthropoda, Insecta, Coleoptera, Buprestidae.
UAAUAAUAAAGAAUUUGAUGCACAAAAGAAUUAAAAUUUCAAUCAAAUGCAGCACAAAUAUUAUCGUCUUGAUCUCAUCUUUGUUACACAUUAAGUCAUUGCCAAGUUUGUUGAUGUAAAAUUUGUAUAUGCAAAUAGUAAUAAUAAUGUAACAGCCACAUCUGCAGCAUACUCACACGCUUCAUGAUUUAGAAAAACAGUUUGGGCGUACCGGGGCAGGAUGCAACAUUUCCCCAGCUUUUGUGUCAAGUUUCUGAGUUGGAAUGUUCGUGGAAUUCGAUUCUAGUGUCAGCUAAUUAUCUUCCUAUAAAAAAGUAUUACACAUCUUUUUAAUGUGUAGGUUCAGUAAGUCUUUAUAAUCAUCACUUUUAACUAAACUUACCCCCCCCCCUCCCAACACGUAUGAUGCUCGGUACGUCCCUGCCAACAGUCAACGUAUUCAUUCAUCUUGCAAUUAAUCUUAUUACGAUUAGAAUAGUUGGUAGAUUCUAGUACAAAUCAAUAUAAAAUUAAUAAUUUAUUAAAGAUUUACCUGCUCACAAUAAAUAUAUAAGUAUAUUAUAAUAUGUUUAAAGAUAAUAUCUUGUGCAGCACCUCACUCUUAUCUAUUAUAUAUAAUAUUAUCNAAUAUUAUCUAUUAUUACCUAAUAUUAUCUAUUAUAAUAUUUUCAUAUGCAACACAUAUUUGCGUACCAAUCACUUGCUGUAUUUCAAUCUGAAUAUUUUUACGACUCUAUAUCAAGUUUUAUAGUACAGUUAGUCCGCAUAAAUUUUGCAAAUUCAUAAAUAUAAAAUUUGACAGUAGCAACAACUGCUUAAAAUUAUAAAAUUUUAGAGAUUUGCAGGACCUGUAGUGUCUUAUGCAGUACCCAGUGGCUAAUUUAGGAGGGAGGAUAUGAGGCUGCAGUCGUCUUUUCGUAAUUUCUGUUCUUUUUGAGAAAAUUGCCUCUUAAACAAUAUUCGUACUUUUUCUAUUUCACUGUCGCGUCUUCAAAACCUAAAUUUUUCUCUAAAAUCUCAAAUCAGACACAUUUUAUUCAAAUGAAGGAUUAAUAACGUAUUUGAGCCUCGGAGGCACAGCCUUCCCCAGAUAAAGAUCCUGGAUUUGCCACUAGUAGUACCUAUAGUAUGUUUUUCAAGUUAAUGGUAAAAGUUAUUAAAAAGGACAGUUUGCUUUAUGAAGUUGCAGAUUUUAAAAAGUACAUGUGUAAAGUAUAAAAUGUAACAAAUUUACAACUUUUAGACAGCAAGCUUGUAUUUUUCGAAUAUCCAUUAAAUACUUACUUAUCAAUACCUAAAUAAAACUUAUCAUUCAACGUUA